RNAcentral lists this ribosomal RNA (439 nucleotides) under uncultured bacterium. Its description in RNAcentral is "partial 16S ribosomal RNA". It matches the Rfam family "Bacterial small subunit ribosomal RNA", at positions 339 to 795 of the family's 1533-position model. The record is from RNAcentral.
CUACGGGUUGCAGCAGUGGGGAAUAUUGCACAAUGGAGGAAACUCUGAUGCAGCAACGCCGCGUGGAGGAUGACACUUUUCGGAGCGUAAACUCCUUUUAUAUAGGAAGAAGAUGACGGUACUAUAUGAAUAAGCGCCGGCUAACUCCGUGCCAGCAGCCGCGGUAAUACGGAGGGCGCAAGCGUUACUCGGAAUCACUGGGCGUAAAGAGCGUGUAGGCGGAUUAAAAAGUCAGAAGUGAAAUCCUAUAGCUUAACUAUAGAACUGCUUCUGAAACUCUUAAUCUAGAAUAUGGGAGAGGUAGAUGGAAUUUCUGGUGUAGGGGUAAAAUCCGUAGAGAUCAGAAGGAAUACCGAUUGCGAAGGCGAUCUACUAGAACAUUAUUGACGCUGAGACGCGAAAGCGUGGGGAGCAAACAGGAUUAGAUACCCGAGUAGUC